UGGGGAAUUUUGCACAAUGGGGGAAACCCUGAUGCAGCGACGCCGCGUGAUUUAGAAGGCCUUCGGGUUGUAAAAAUCUUUUUUAUGGGAUGAAAAUGACAGUACCAUAAGAAUAAGGUCCGGCUAAAUACGUGCCAGCAGCCGCGGUAAUACGUAUGGACCGAGCGUUGUCCGGAAUCAUUGGGCGUAAAGGGUUCGCAGGCGGAAAUGCAAGUCAGGUGUAAAAGGCAGUAGCUUAACUACUGUAAGCAUUUGAAACUGCAUAUCUUGAGAAGAGUAGAGGUAAGUGGAAUUUUUAGUGUAGCGGUGAAAUGCGUAGAUAUUAAAAAGAAUACCGGUGGCGAAGGCGACUUACUGGGCUCAUUCUGACGCUGAGGAACGAAAGCGUGGGUAGCAAACAGG
Molecule: ribosomal RNA, 402 nt
Filed under: Verrucomicrobiota bacterium
Lineage: Bacteria; Pseudomonadati; Verrucomicrobiota
Description: Verrucomicrobia bacterium partial 16S ribosomal RNA
Rfam family: Bacterial small subunit ribosomal RNA
Source: RNAcentral